GUCGGCAUAGCUCAGCUGGUUAGAGUAUCACCUUGACAUGGUGGGGGUCGUUGGUCCGAAUCCAACUGUCGACA
Molecule: transfer RNA, 74 nt
Filed under: Prevotella sp.
Lineage: Bacteria; Pseudomonadati; Bacteroidota; Bacteroidia; Bacteroidales; Prevotellaceae
Also listed under: 2 other names
Description: tRNA-Val
Rfam family: tRNA
About the family: Transfer RNA (tRNA) molecules are approximately 80 nucleotides in length. Their secondary structure includes four short double-helical elements and three loops (D, anti-codon, and T loops).
Source: RNAcentral